This 322-nucleotide long non-coding RNA is filed under the name Vigna radiata. RNAcentral's name for it is "long non-coding RNA (VRAD_LNC014526)". Lineage: Eukaryota; Viridiplantae; Streptophyta; Magnoliopsida; Fabales; Fabaceae. The record is from RNAcentral.
GAACCCCUACUACGGCCUGAGGGCAGGCCUAAGUCCAGGUGUGGGAGUACCUAUGUAGAGGAUGAUGAUGAUGAGGAUGAUGAAGAGCCCAAUCCCAAAUGCACACAACAAAGUCACGAGACAUAUGAAAGCAAGUGGAGAUCCGAACGAGAUGGGUCCUGGUAGAGCACAUAUGGACAAACUCUCCUGUUGUUUGAUGCUUAUUGUUAUGUUUGUAUUUCAGUUCAGUUGUUAUAUUGAGGAACUAUGUUUAGUUGUUUAUGUUUGGUGUUGUAAAGACUUUGAUGUUUUGAUUUAAUGAUUAUGCAUUAUCUGAUUAAGU